RNAcentral lists this unclassified non-coding RNA (137 nucleotides) under plant metagenome. Its description in RNAcentral is "partial contains 5.8S ribosomal RNA, internal transcribed spacer 2, and large subunit ribosomal RNA". The record is from RNAcentral.
GAUGAUCUGGAUGAUGAGCGGACCCCAGCGCGCGAAUUGCGCGAUGAAGCCGGUUUCCACCAUCACCAGCGCAGCGACGGUGACGUAGAUGGCGUACUCGAGGCAGCGUCGAAGGAGCGGCACGAGCCGACGAAGGU